RNAcentral lists this unclassified non-coding RNA (348 nucleotides) under soil metagenome. RNAcentral describes it as "partial contains 5.8S ribosomal RNA, internal transcribed spacer 2, and large subunit ribosomal RNA". The stretch from base 1 to 120 matches the Rfam family "5.8S ribosomal RNA", at positions 35 to 154 of the family's 154-position model. The record is from RNAcentral.
GAUGAAGAACGUAGCAAAAUGCGAUAAGUAAUGUGAAUUGCAGAAUUCAGUGAAUCAUCGAAUCUUUGAACGCACAUUGCGCCCGCUGGUAUUCCGGCGGGCAUGCCUGUUCGAGCGUCAUUUCAACCCUCAAGCCCCCGGGUUUGGUGUUGGGGAUCGGCUCUGCCCUUCUGGGCGGUGCCGCCCCCGAAAUACAUUGGCGGUCUCGCUGCAGCCUCCAUUGCGUAGUAGCUAACACCUCGCAACUGGAACGCGGCGCGGACAUGCCGUAAAACCCCAACUUCUGAAUGUUGACCUCGGAUCAGGUAGGAAUACCCGCUGAACUUAAGCAUAUCAAUAUGCGGAGGA